GCGGAGGAAAAGAAAAUAACAAUGAUUUCCCCAGUAACGGCGAGUGAAGAGGAAAGAGCUCAAAGUUGGAACCUGUUUGGCUUAGCUAAACCGGAUUGUAAACUGUAGAAGUGUUUUCCUGACACGCCUGGUAAAAAAGUCCUUUGGAACAGGGCAUCAUAGAGGGUGAGAAUCCCGUCUUUGGCCAGAGCUGUUGUCUUUUGUGAUACAUUUUCAAAGAGUCAGGUUGUUUGGGAAUGCAGCCUAAAUUGGGUGGUAAAUCUCACCUAAAGCUAAAUAUUUGCGAGAGACCGAUAGCGAACAAGUACCGUGAGGGAAAGAUGAAAAGAACUUUGAAAAGAGAGUUAAACAGUAUGUGAAAUUGUUAAAAGGGAACCGUUUGGAGCCAGACUGGCUUGACUGUAAUCAAUCUAGGCUUCGGCCUGGAUGCACUUGCGGUCUAUGCCUGCCAACGACAGUUUUAUUUGGGGGAAAAAAUUAUUGGGAAUGUGGCCUUUCGAGGUGUUAUAGCCCUUUAAAAAAUACCCUGGAUUGGACUGAGGAACGCAGUGAAUGCCUUUAGGCAAGAUUGCUGGGUGCUUUCGCUAAUAAAUGCUAGAAUUUCUGCUUCGGGUGGUGCUAGUGUUUAAAGGUGGAACUCGCUUAGUAUAUUUUUUAUUCGCUUAGGUUGUUGGCUUAAUGACUCUAAAUGAC
RNAcentral lists this ribosomal RNA (693 nucleotides) under Mucor moelleri f. californiensis. RNAcentral's name for it is "partial large subunit ribosomal RNA". It matches the Rfam family "Eukaryotic large subunit ribosomal RNA", at positions 50 to 648 of the family's 3401-position model. Lineage: Eukaryota; Fungi; Mucoromycota; Mucoromycetes; Mucorales; Mucoraceae. The record is from RNAcentral.